ACCAAAAACAUAAUUGUAAUGGCUCGGGCGCUAUAACGAGUCACUGUGACUAUCUUGAUUAGUGGUUCUCCCAAUGCCAUUUGAUCAUGGAAACACCACAUACAUAC
This 107-nucleotide small nucleolar RNA is filed under the name Cephalotus follicularis. Lineage: Eukaryota; Viridiplantae; Streptophyta; Magnoliopsida; Oxalidales; Cephalotaceae. The record is from RNAcentral.